Molecule: long non-coding RNA, 540 nt
Organism: Cajanus cajan (pigeon pea)
Lineage: Eukaryota; Viridiplantae; Streptophyta; Magnoliopsida; Fabales; Fabaceae
Source: RefSeq, a predicted model, not a curated record
GUAAUGUUGUCAGAACUACCUCUCUGAUAUGCUUCUUGCAUCAGUCUCUUUGCUGCCUCCUCGGCGUCCUCAAUUUGUUUGAUCAUAGCAACAGCUUCCUGGAGAAAAGUGAAAGAUUGAGGGAGUUAGAUGAGUCAUCAUAUCUUUAUAGUGGUGAAGAUGAACCUACACAUGUUGCGCAGAAUUUAUAGAUAUUUUUUUAUGGCACAAUACCAAUGGUAGAGAGAGGAUCAGUCCUUGGUUUCUAGUUUAAAUGGUGGUUUCUAACAUGAAACAUUUUGGUGGAUUCUCUUGUGUUCAUGAAGGAAAUCUUUGACCCACAUGUUUCAGAAAGAAGUUAUUAACCUUAUCAAAUCAUGGCAGUAAAAGCACCUAAAAAUAGGUAAAUAAACAAACUCCAGGGUUCUUGAUAGGUUUAACUCAUUAUAUUUUCAUGGUUUGUGCCGGAAAUGUACUAUAGUUAUCAAAAGUGGAAGAAAUGAAAAUCAUUGCAAACCUCAUUCGAGACAACAUCCCAUAGUCCAUCACUGGCCAAUAUAA